CCCUAGCCCCGAUAGCAGCGGCAUCCUUUGCUUGCCUUCUCUAGGCAAGUAAAGAUAUAGCGAAUAGCGGGAAAUAGC
This 78-nucleotide small RNA is filed under the name Flavobacterium sp. TAB 87. RNAcentral's name for it is "Flavo-1 RNA". It matches the Rfam family "Flavo-1 RNA". The record is from Rfam by way of RNAcentral. Lineage: Bacteria; Pseudomonadati; Bacteroidota; Flavobacteriia; Flavobacteriales; Flavobacteriaceae.